CUCCAGCCUACCAGGGUCAGGAGCCCUCCUCUCCACUCUGGAAGGCUCCGAGUGCCCCCACAUCAGAGCAGAGCAGUCACUGCGUGGACUUGGCCUUGCAACCGUGGCUGCAGAACGGAGCUCUGUGAGGCAGAGGCAGUAGCCUAGACACAUUUAAAACAACCAGCAAGAUGGCAAAUCUCUGACAGCUGAGCAGGUUUCGCCUUGACUGGGGAAUUAAGCUCCCUGGGGCCAGGCGGUCUCCGUAUAGAGAACACCUGUGAAAGGUGGACACUGGAUGGUGGGAAGGAAGUCAGGGAGAAGAGAGAGCAAAAUGGCUCCUUUGGAUAAAAUCAGGAAUUUGGCAGCCCAGUAAGGAGCUGGUGGGAAGGCCUGAGAUGGAGGGGAGGAGAGAAAGCUGGGGAACACCUUGGGAGGCAGACUCGAGGCCACGAGGCAGCCAGUGUCUCCCAGAGGCUGGAAGAAGACAGAGCAUUAAGAAUGCCCACCUUUCCACGAUUCCACAAGCCUGAAAGUGGCGUGCACCUUACAAUCAGCAAUACUGCACAGCUCGCAGCAUUGUUUCUUGUCAGCACCUGAAAUGACAACGCUUCUUACCAUCAUCAUCAGAUCUUGGGUUCUGUGGAAUCCUGUCAAGAAGGAGAACAAGAGCCACGUGGUCUGUUUCAGGGAAGGGAACUUGGACAGAUCCGCAUCCUCACAGAGCACAGAGACACGCUGACUGUAAUACUGGGGGGCAUCGACUCCAUCAGCCCGCUGUCCCACCACUUCUAUUUUAUUAAGUCUGACCCCAGCCUGCACAGCUGGGAAAGAUGUGUCUCAGAAACGGAAAUGAGUUUCUCAGAUGUGCGAUGUUUGCAGAGGAAGUGAAACAUGGUGUUUAUUCCGUGAGCCCUGCAUCCUGCAAUUAGGAGGUGCCCGUGACCCUCGGAGGGCCACACCAGACUCAAGGCCCCUCCAGGGCUGGGACAUGAUGUCUUUGUGUGUGAGGGGUGGGGACAGUUAGCAAUCACCUUGGAAAUGCUCUGCCCUCCCUGUAAGGAAGUGCUGUCUUACCUUAAGGUCAGCAAAUCCAGGCUCCUUCCCCAGGUGCCUUGCGGCUCCCUC
Molecule: long non-coding RNA, 1107 nt
Organism: Bubalus bubalis (water buffalo)
Lineage: Eukaryota; Metazoa; Chordata; Mammalia; Artiodactyla; Bovidae
Exons: 2
Source: RefSeq, a predicted model, not a curated record